UAUGGUUCAGAGACAGGCGGGGAGCAGCUUGAGUCUUGCCUUAGCGUCGUGGCGUUAGCAGGACUGGUUUACAUUGCGGGGGGGAAGUUGUGUUAAUAGGGGCUGAGAGGUGCGGCGCGUCCCGGCUUAGCGUGAUGCGUGGCAGGAUGUCGUGGAUGCGUGGCGGCUUACCAAAGAUAUGCUAAAGCUGCCAGCCGUGAUGCCGAGCAGAUCUCCAACAAGCAGUUCUUCAUGUUCACUCUGUUUUUUCAUCCAGUAAUGAUCAUCAUCCUACAUUCACCCUGUUGGAGAGGCAAGAGGAAGGAACGGAACAGAGGUGUGACACUCCCCGCCAGCCACGCUCCUUACGCUCCUUCCUGAGUACAGAUGUCAUUGUUAAGUCGCCAGAGCCCCGCAAUCCCCCGCUCGCUGCUGAAGGACGGCCUCUCGCAGCCCCGAGCCCCGUCACCCGCUGGAAGAUCAAAAGUCAGACACGAGUGAGCGGCGCUGAGCCUCCGCCACUCACAGCCAAAUUUAAAGAAGGAUAAAGCACCAGUGGAGAGCUGCCGUCGCUCAACAACCGCUCCACCUCCACCUCCACCUCCGCUUCCACCACCACCACCAACCCUCCGCCAUCACCACCCAGCUCAUCAAUCCCUCCUACUUCACCACCACGGCCAGCCUUUCGCCUCCUCCAUCACCACCACAACUGCCACCACUAAUACCAGCCUUCCACCAUCGCCACCGCCACCACUACCACCACCGCCUAGCUCAUCCAGCUCCCAGCAGCACAACACGAAACAAAGGCAUCUACUUCAUGUAUUUUGAUGAGUUAAGUAAAUAUUUACGUCAAAUCU
This is a long non-coding RNA of Scylla paramamosain (green mud crab), 836 nucleotides long. RefSeq lists it as uncharacterized. The transcript has 4 exons. The record is from RefSeq and is a predicted model, not a curated record. Lineage: Eukaryota; Metazoa; Arthropoda; Malacostraca; Decapoda; Portunidae.